Long non-coding RNA from Oncorhynchus keta (chum salmon), 379 nucleotides. RefSeq lists it as uncharacterized. The transcript is spliced from 3 exons. The record is from RefSeq and is a predicted model, not a curated record. Lineage: Eukaryota; Metazoa; Chordata; Actinopteri; Salmoniformes; Salmonidae.
ACAAUCACAGAAGCACUACAGAAACACUGCUAACCAAACAGCAGUGCUAGGUGGCUGUACUACAGAAACACUGCUAACCAAACAACAGUGCUAGGUGGCUGUACUACAGAAACACUGCUAACCAAACAACAGUGCUAGGUGGCUGUACUACAGAAACACUGCUAACCAAACAACAGUGCUAGGUGGCUGUACUACAGAAACACUGCUAACCAAACAACAGUGCUAGGUGGCUGUACUACAGAAACACUGCUAACCAAACAACAGUGCUAGGUGGCUGUACUACAGAAACACUGCUAAUCAAACAACAGUGCUAGGUGGCUGUACUACAGAAACACUGCUAAUCAAACAACAGUGCUAGGUGGCUGUACUACAGAAACAC